RNAcentral lists this ribosomal RNA (487 nucleotides) under uncultured eukaryote. RNAcentral describes it as "bacterial SSU rRNA". It matches the Rfam family "Eukaryotic small subunit ribosomal RNA", at positions 502 to 984 of the family's 1831-position model. The record is from RNAcentral.
GCCGCGUUCGGAAUGAGUACGAUUCGAAACCACCUAACGAGGAACGAUCGAGGGCAAGUCUGGUGCCAGCAGCCGCGGUAAUUCCAGCCUCCAAUAGCGUACGUUAAAAGUUGCUGCAGUUAAAAAGCUCGUAGUUGAACGUUCGGGUUCCGCGGGACGGGGCCGCCCCGCGAGGGACGGCGCCGGCCCCGGGGCUCGUGAUAUCUCAUCUCGCCGCCCGUCGCGAGGCGGACGGAGGGAUGGAUGAGGUUACCUGGAAAAAAUCGGGGCGAUCUAGGCGGGCGAACCUCGCCAACGAACGAUCGGACAUGGGAUAACGGAAGAGGGCGUCGGCUCGACUUCGUCGGUUCCUCGGGCCGAGGCACGUACGGUGAAUAGGGACGGUCGGGGCCGCCCGUACCGGGUCGUGAGAGGUGAAAUUCUAGGAUCGACCCGAGACGAACCGCCGCGAAAGCAUUCGGCAAGGACGCUUUCAUUAAUCAAGAAC